RNAcentral lists this ribosomal RNA (400 nucleotides) under uncultured bacterium. RNAcentral describes it as "bacterial SSU rRNA". It matches the Rfam family "Bacterial small subunit ribosomal RNA", at positions 774 to 1161 of the family's 1533-position model. The record is from RNAcentral.
AGUGAAUAGAUACCCUGGUAGUCCUGGCAGUAAACGGUGCGCGUUUGGUGUGGGAGGAUUCGACCCCUUCUGUGCCGGAGCUAAACGCGUUAAACCGCGCCGCCUGGGGAGUACGGUCGCAAGAUUAAAACUCAAAGAAAUUGACGGGGGUCCCGCACAAGCGGUGGAGUAUGUGGCUUAAUUCGAUGCAACGCGAAGAACCUUACCUAGCCUUGACAUGCAUCUCUAAGUCGGUGAAAGCCGGCGAGUGUAGCAAUACACAAUUUGCACAGGUGCUGCAUGGCUGUCGUCAGCUCGUGUCGUGAGAUGUUGGGUUUAAGUCCCGCAACGAGCGCAACCCCGUGUGAACUGUUGCCACCUACAUUCGUGUAGAGCACUCUGUUCAGACUGCCCUGUGAAA